Aedes aegypti (yellow fever mosquito) is the source of this 442-nucleotide long non-coding RNA. RefSeq lists it as uncharacterized. The record is from RefSeq and is a predicted model, not a curated record. The transcript has 2 exons. NCBI's taxonomy places the organism in Eukaryota, Metazoa, Arthropoda, Insecta, Diptera, Culicidae.
UUAGAGAGAAGAAGAAAUUGUGACAUAUAAUUUUAUAAAUUGUGUUUCAUAUUUUGUCCAUCUACGGGGCCCCCUUGAUCGAGAGGCCCGGGGCAUUUGCCCCCUUGGCACCCCCCAAAUCCGGGCCUGGAUCACAUACAUCAAUUUUGGAACAGGAAAUGGAAAUAGAACAUCACCUAAUAUGGCAGCAUGGAGCAUGGAUAUGAGGCUUGGAAGAAUUCGGAUGACGAUAGCUACAACAACUGGGUUUCAAGCAAAUGGUAGCUAAAUAUAUCAUCCAUCCAGGCGACAGGCGGACUGACGAAAACUACAAACCUGAUGGUGACGCAAAAACCAUCGUUGGUCCCAUCAGCCGUAGAAACCCUGCUCAGAUUUAAAAUUAAACCGAUAGUUGGAUACAUUUUAUUCAAUAAAAUCUAUAAAAAGUUUGGGGAAAACUCAA